UUUGAACCUGCGGAAGGAUCAUUAAAGAGACGUUGCCCUUCGGGGUAUACCUCCCACCCUUUGUUUAUACAUACCUUUGUUGCUUUGGCAGGCCCGGCUUACGGCCCACCGGCUCCGGCUGGUCCGCGUCUGCCAGAGGAAACCCAAACUCUGUUUGUUAAUAUUGUCUGAGUACUAUAUAAUAGUUAAAACUUUCAACAACGGAUCUCUUGGUUCUGGCAUCGAUGAAGAACGCAGCGAAAUGCGAUAAGUAAUGUGAAUUGCAGAAUUCAGUGAAUCAUCGAAUCUUUGAACGCACAUUGCGCUCCCUGGUAUUCCGGGGAGCAUGCCUGUUCGAGCGUCAUUACAACCCUCAAGCUCUGCUUGGUAUUGGGCCUCGCCGGUUCCGGCGGGCCUUAAAAUCAGUGGCGGUGCCAUUCGGCUUCAAGCGUAGUAAUUCUUCUCGCUUCGGAGACCCGGGUGCGUGCUUGCCAGCAACCCCCAAUUUUUUCAGGUUGACCUCGGAUCAGGUAGGGAUACCCGCUGAACUUAAGCAUAUC
Molecule: ribosomal RNA, 539 nt
Filed under: fungal sp. AB49
Lineage: Eukaryota; Fungi
Also listed under: 1 other name
Description: eukaryotic LSU rRNA
Rfam family: 5.8S ribosomal RNA (bases 190-343)
Source: RNAcentral